GCAUGGGUUUGGAUUUAUGGCAGGUCUGAUCCCAUGGGCCUCUCACAGUGUCCCAUGCCAAAGCAAACUGUAACCCCGAACCAUUGUCUGGCUUUACCUCGUGGGCUUCAGCACUUAAGCAGGUUGCACAGUG
This 133-nucleotide small nucleolar RNA is filed under the name Echinops telfairi (small Madagascar hedgehog). RNAcentral describes it as "Small nucleolar RNA SNORA42/SNORA80 family (ENSETEG00000023502.1)". It matches the Rfam family "Small nucleolar RNA SNORA42/SNORA80 family". Rfam says of the family: The members of this family belong to the H/ACA class of snoRNAs that guide the sites of modification of uridines to pseudouridines. Human ACA42 (SNORA42) was cloned from HeLa cells by immunoprecipitation with anti-GAR1 antibody. Its is predicted to guide the pseudouridylation of residues U109 and U572 of 18S rRNA. Lineage: Eukaryota; Metazoa; Chordata; Mammalia; Afrosoricida; Tenrecidae. The record is from RNAcentral.